Oncorhynchus tshawytscha (Chinook salmon) is the source of this 3744-nucleotide long non-coding RNA. The record is from Ensembl. Lineage: Eukaryota; Metazoa; Chordata; Actinopteri; Salmoniformes; Salmonidae.
GCUUAUCCAACAAGCUGUCACCUUCAGUGUACUAAUCUUAAUGCAACAGCUGUUUUAUUUGCUCUACUGUGUAAUGAAUACCUUUUUUUUUUUUUUUUUCUGUGCUCCCUCUACGGUGUUACGAUGUUAGAAACUGUGAGGAUAGCAGUCUUGCUAUGUACACAAAAGCAUGUGUUAAUUGUUUCUAGGUGUGUUCUCUUAAAAAAAAAAAAAAAAAAAUAGAAUAAGGCUAUGUAAGUGUUUUGUUUCCAUCUGUUAUCUGUCAUUGGUUUUCAUGUUUUGUAUGACCAUGGUGUCUUUUGAUACAGGGAUAUUCCUGCACUGAGCUUUGAGUCUGCUUGUUAUGAGCGGUAAUUGCCUCUACUUUAUUUGGUGUUAUAUAUAUAUAUAUAUAUAUAAUGAUGAUCUUAUAGGACCAAAACAGAAAUAAAACAGCCUAAAUGAGUAGCUAAUGCAGUAUGUAUGCCUUUUCCAUAAAAUGUCUUCCCUACAUACAAAUGCCAAUGUUCAGGCCCCAUAAAGUGUCAACAAUGAACUGAAAUGCGUUCUUUUUAAAGCUAAUUCACCAAACCUAAACUAAGAAUACUUUGGUGUUCAGCAACUUUUAGGCUGGAAUCCAAACUUGAGAUCUGUGCGCCAAAACUUGACACGUACAGAUCGAAAGUUAGAAUUCGGCCCUCACGUGCUAGAUUUAGUUCAAACCAAAGGAGCAGAAGAAGACAACAUUUUGUGUGCUGUUUCACUGACGCUGAUGUUUGUGCUGUUUUUCCCCACAAUGAUGUUUCCUGUGGUGGCUGAGAGCGAGACAAGAGUCCAGCACUUCCUUCUCCAGGCCGGGCUCCCCUUUCAGAGAGACAAGACCUCCACAAGGCCACUUAUCAAGGUCAUUUCUGAUGGCAUGUGUAGAUACUAAAAGCCGUAAAGCUAUAGAAAUAAAUAGUCGCAAACUCGUAUAACUCCCAGCGACUCUAUUUAGUUGUAUAGCUUCCAGUUAAUUUGCCGAUAGUCAGCACCUCUACACUAAUGUUCCCUGGGGAUGCUCCAACUUGUUAUUAGAUACUAGAAGCCAAACAACACUGGGGGUGAUGUAAAAUACAAUAUGGCGAAUUCAUUUUGCUUACUGUUUUCCGGGAAGGCAUUUGUCAUAGACGCUCACCCACACUCGACCAUUAAAAAGUUGUGGUUCCAAAUGUUUCCUCUGUUAAGGAUUUAUCGUUCUAUUCGUCUACACAUGACAGACACUUUUUGGUUAACAAAGUGUCAUUACAAGCUGCACAUGUACCUGAGUGUGUUUUGGUUACGCAUAUGGCUCUAAACUGGUUCCAGAUUGCCACAAGGCGUCAGGUAGCUUGACUUGUAACUGUCAAAGUUGAACCACCAGGCGUCCGGUAGCUUGACUUGUAACUGUAAAGUUGAACCACCAGGCGUCAGGUAGCUUGACUUGUAACUGUCAAAGUUGAACCACAAGGCGUCAGGUAGCUUGACUUGUAACUGUCAAAGUUGAACCACCAGGCGUCAGGUAGCUUGACUUGUAACUGUCAAAGUUGAACCACCAGGCGUCCGGUAGCUUGACUUGUAACUGUCAAAGUUGAACCACCAGGCGUCAGGUAGCUUGACUUGUAACUGUCAAAGUUGAACCAAGAUACUUGUUCAUUUGUUCUCUAUAUGUUCUAGGUGCCGCCCUUUUAGAGAAGAGUCUCGCAAGGAACCUCCUCUGGACAAAGGUUUCUGUUCUGGAGAGAGUUACUGUAUUUGUAAAGGUGGACUCAUCAAUAUGACAACAUCAUACAAAGCGGGGGAAAUUCCUGCAUACAGAAAUCAACAACAGCAUUCAAAUCUUCUGAGACUGACGCUUGUGGCUUUUCCCCAUGUGGGCAAAGCUCACGGGAGGGCGCAAAUGUCGCAGUCUUGGCAGAUUUUUAUUCUAUCGUUGAUGUCUAAGCAGGAAGACGGGGGGCAUUGUAUGAUGGUGCCAUUUUGCUAAGUCAAUUAUUAGUAGACAUGUCAUGACCUGACAUUUUUCAAAUAUGUUAUCAGUAACUACUUCAGUUAUUAUAAUGAGUCGGUGUUAGACACGUUGUUACCGUAAUGAGUCGGUGUUAGACACGUUGUUACCGUAAUGAGUCGGUGUUAGACACGUUAUCAUAAUGAGUCACUAUUACACGUUGUUAUCGUAAUGAGUCACUAUUACACGUCGUUACCGUAAUGAGUCGGUGUUAGACACGUUAUCGCAAUGAGUCACUAUUACACGUUAUCAUCGCAAUGAGUCACUAUUACAUGUUGUUAUCGUAAUGAGUCAGUAUUACACGUUAUCAUAAUGAGUCACUAUUACACGUUAUCGUAAUGAGUCACUAUUACACGUUGUUACCGUAAUGAGUCGGUGUUAGACACGUUAUCAUAAUGAGUCACUAUUACACGUUGUUAUCGUAAUGAGUCACUAUUACACGUUGUUACCGUAAUGAGUCGGUGUUAGACACGUUAUCGCAAUGAGUCACUAUUACACGAUAUCAUCGUAAUGAGUCACUAUUACACGUUAUCAUCGUAAUGAGUCAGUAUUACACGUUGUUAUCGUAAUGAGUCAGUAAUACACGUUGUUAUCGUAAUGAGUCAGUAUUACACGUUGUUAUCGUAAUGAGUCAGUAUUACACGUUGUUAUCGUAAUGAGUCAGUAUUACACGUUGUUAUCGUAAUGAGUCAGUAUUACACGUUGUUAUCGUAAUGAGUCAGUAUUACACGUUGUUAUCGUAAUGAGUCAGUAUUACACGUUAUCGUAAUGAGUCAGUAUUACACGUUGUUAUCGUAAUGAGUCAGUAUUACACGUUGUUAUCGCAAUGAGUCAGUAUUACACGUUGUUAUCGUAAUGAGUCAGUUUUACACGUUGUUAUCGUAAUGAGUCAGUAUUACACGUUGUUAUCGUAAUGAGUCAGCAUUAGACACAUUGGGUGACAUUCUGGACCCAUUAGACUGAGAUUUGUUCAUGAACUCGGAUGUUUUGCUUAUGGAUUCUGAGAAAGUAUAUGGAAAUCAUGAUAAAUUGUAUUUAGUUCGAUUGAACUUUGGUUAUAAUGUGGCUAAAUCUAUGCCAAAGUGAUCAACAAUGAAGGUAAUACUUUUUCUUGUUAUUGAUAAAUAUGGCCAGAUUCAUGUUAUCACUGGUAACAUUGCAAUUUUGUGAUUUGUUUUUCAGGGUAAGUCAGAACUUCUCUUCCCUGCCUUGGUUCCUUCAGUCUCCUCUUUCUGCUUUGGUGCCCAUGUAAGACUGGAGACCAGGGAAGAUGUUCAACGAAUGAGCCCCUGUGGAUAUUUCUCAAAUAGAAAAUGUAAUGUUAUGUAACACAUUUGUCUACAUCCUUCACUUUAUUCAAUGUAAUCUUGUACACUACUGUUUCCUUAUGAUAUAACAUCAAUGUGCAUGCUUUGUCCUUAAUUGAGAACAUAACGUGUUCAUUUUUCAUUUGGCGUAUUAAUAUAAUAAACAUAGGCACAGACUAUCUGAAGAUUUUGAGUUUCUUUGGUAACCGUUUACUUGGACGCUGCCAUAGCCUACAUUAAUCGCGUUGCCAUAAUGACAAGAUGUCACAAAAACAAUCAUGACUUAGCCUGUCUGCUUAAUGACAACUGACUUAAAACAAACAUGACUCAACCAUGGUUUGAAUUUAAGGGGUGCUAGAAUAUGAACUUAAACAGUCAGUGAGGACACCCCAAAGAGUUUGUAUAAUUUGAACCCUGAACAGAGUGUUAUUU